CAUACGGGUUGAAGCAUGACCGUAAGGACAUGUGGACAGUAUGGGAGUGAGAAUGUUGGCAUGAGUAGCGAGAUGUGGGUGAGAAUCCCACAGGCCGUAAACCCAAGGUUUCCAGGGGAAGGUUCGUCCGCCCUGGGUUAGUCGGGACCUAAGCUGAGGCCGAAAGGCGUAGGUGAUGGACAACAGGUUGAUAUUCCUGUACUACCGAUAACCGUUUGAGAGAAGGGAUGACACAGUAGGAUAAGCUAAGCACACUGUUGGUUAUGUGUGCC
RNAcentral lists this ribosomal RNA (272 nucleotides) under Clostridioides difficile. RNAcentral's name for it is "partial 23S ribosomal RNA". It matches the Rfam family "Bacterial large subunit ribosomal RNA", at positions 1242 to 1512 of the family's 2925-position model. The record is from RNAcentral. Lineage: Bacteria; Bacillati; Bacillota; Clostridia; Peptostreptococcales; Peptostreptococcaceae.